Molecule: long non-coding RNA, 591 nt
Organism: Silurus meridionalis
Lineage: Eukaryota; Metazoa; Chordata; Actinopteri; Siluriformes; Siluridae
Exons: 2
Source: RefSeq, a predicted model, not a curated record
UCGGCAGCCAAUCACUGGGCGGAUGAACUAACAUUAUUUCCGCCUAAAAACAUGGGUUAUUCGAGUUCACGUUUCUGCGCAACAUCACGCACAGGUUCACGCACAGAGCAUGCUGUUAGCGCAAACCAGACAAGCCGGUGAACUGGUGUAUGAUGUUGCAUGUGUUUAACAUCCUGGUCCAUGAAUUGACGUUUGCUGCCGGCCAAUCAGGAUGAAUAAAGGGCGUGGCUCCGAUAUAGGGUGAGGUGAUGACGGGCAGAUGGGAGGAGUUUUUUUUAGACAAGCCUAGAUUGUGAGGUCAUCACGUGGGCGUGUCUUAUAACGGGGUUAUUUGGGUUCAGACCAUGGUAGAUAUUUUAACACUAUUUACGUUUACACCGCAAAAGCAUCCUGUUUCACGUCCAUUCUGUGGCCGGUUUUUUCAUGACACGUGUACUUUCCAGCGACUCUACCAUGUACAUGGAUGAAAAGGAACCAUUAUCAGGACCAUCGUGUAGAAGGGACCCAGACAUGGGAGAAGCAUCUUAAUGUGUGUGGUCCUGGUACAUGUGCAUUAGACCCAAUAAAGUUAGGUUAUAAAGUGAAUUUAUA